AUGAACGCUGGCGGCGUGCCUCAUACAUGCAAGUCGAGCGAACAGAUGAGGAGCUUGCUCCUCUGACGUUAGCGGCGGACGGGUGAGUAACACGUGGAUAACCUACCUAUAAGACUGGGAUAACUACGGGAAACCGGAGCUAAUACCGGAUAAUAUAUUAAACCGCAUGGUUCAAUAGUGAAAGACGGUUUUGCUGUCACUUAUAGAUGGAUCCGCGCCGCAUUAGCUAGUUGGUAAGGUAACGGCUUACCAAGGCAACGAUGCGUAGCCGACCUGAGAGGGUGAUCGGCCACACUGGAACUGAGACACGGUCCAGACUCCUACGGGAGGCAGCAGUAGGGAAUCUUCCGCAAUGGGCGAAAGCCUGACGGAGCAACGCCGCGUGAGUGAUGAAGGUCUUCGGAUCGUAAAACUCUGUUAUUAGGGAAGAACAAAUGUGUAAGUAACUAUGCACGUCUUGACGGUACCUAAUCAGAAAGCCACGGCUAACUACGUG
Molecule: ribosomal RNA, 496 nt
Filed under: uncultured bacterium
Lineage: Bacteria
Description: partial 16S ribosomal RNA
Rfam family: Bacterial small subunit ribosomal RNA
Source: RNAcentral